AGAGUUUGAUCCUGGCUCAGGAUGAACGCUGGCGGCGUGGAUAAGGCAUGCAAGUCGAACGAAUUUCUUUGAAUUGAGAUUGCGAUUACAUCAAGGUUGAUUUUCUCUAGAAAUUAGUGGCAGACGAGGUAGUAAUACAUAGGUACUUCCCCCGAAGUCGUGAAUAAUCCGUCGAAAGACGGACUAAUACACGAUGGUCUCGCAAGAGUAAAGUUUUAACGCUUCGGGAAAGGCCUGUGCAGUAUCAGCUUGUUGGUAGGGUAACGGCCUACCAAGGCUAUGACGCUUAGGGGCGCUGAGAGGCGGACCCCCACCGAUGGGACUGAGACACGGCCCAUACACCUACGGGUGGCUGCAGUCGAGAAUCUUCCACAAUGGACGAAAGUCUGAUGGAGCGACGCCGCGUGAUCGAUGAAGUCCCUAUGGGACGUAAAGAUCUUUAGCCAGGGAAGAAGUUUAUUGACUGUACCUGGAGAAUAAGAGGCUCCCAAUCUCGUGCCAGCAGGAGCGGUAAUACGAGAGCCUCGAGCGUUAUCCGGAAUUAUUGGGCGUAAAGGGUGCGUAGGUUGUUCUGUUAGUCUUUUGUCAAAACCCGGGGCUUAACCUCGGAUCUGCAAAAGAAACGGCAGAACUAGAAAGUGCGAGAGGUGUACGGAACUCAUGGUGUAGGGGUGAAAUCCGUUGAUAUCAUGGGGAACACCAAAGGCGAAGGCAGUACACUGGCGCAUAUUUGACACUGAAGCACGAAAGCGUGGGUAGCGAAUGGGAUUAGAUACCCCCGUAGUCC
Molecule: ribosomal RNA, 787 nt
Filed under: uncultured bacterium
Lineage: Bacteria
Description: bacterial SSU rRNA
Rfam family: Bacterial small subunit ribosomal RNA
Source: RNAcentral